CAUGAAGUCACCACGGCCCACACUCGCUCUUUGUUUUGCUCACUCCAGCUCUUUUUCUCCCCUCUGGAUCUGACAGUUGCCAUCCCCAUCGUUCCGAGAAUUCCUAGUGCGUAGCCACGCAACGGGAUAUCGCACUGCGUUCCCUAUUCCCUCCUCCUGCACUCCCAGCUUGCCUAGCUGCAUCACCUUCCCAGUAAAAGGAACAAAGAAGUUAGAGACCACAGCAAAGGAGGAAGAGACGCUAAGGAGGGGAAGAGGAGGACAUUUCUGCCUGGUGGCAGCUCAGAAAUUCAGACCACCAGAGCUAUGUGAUGAUGAAGAAAGUCAUAGGUGAGAGCUGAGUAGCUCACAACAGUUGACCAGAUGUAGAAUGUGUGAUUACACAGAUCCGUGGAAUAAGUGCAGAAGUGGAAAUGUUUGGAGGGAAAGGAGAAGGAGAAAGAUGAGAUAUGAGGUCAAGAGAGCGUCAUCUAAGGAACCUAUUGAAGGUCUUCAAAUCAGCUUAUCUUGGCAAGGAAGGAUUCUAGGAAGAAUCAGAAAUCUAUCUUUCAAUGCAGAAGAAUGAUGACUCCUGAUGCAGUUCUAAAAAGGUUUAUGCUGUAUGAAUGUUUGUUGCAAAAUGGCUGCAAUGGAGUUCGAUAUUUGGAAAUAUAUCCUACACAUGAAAGAUUUAUUGGAAAAUAGAAUAACUUGUGAUCAGAAUAAGGAAGUCAGCAAAAUAAACGGAAAAUGAACUAGAUCACAUCUGAAGAGGAAUAUUGAAAGAACAAUCUAAGGAGUGAAGUAAUUGUAAAGCAUUUCAGAUCGUUUUUUGAACAAGAAGUUCUAAAGUUUAUGCCACAUGAUUUCAGCGUGGAGUUUAACAUGCUGCUGAAAUUAUGGUCCAUUCUAAAUACAUUUAUUAGGGGAAUUAGCAGCUGGAAUUUCCAUGAUGGGUCAUCUUCAAGCUGGAGAUCCUGGGACUAUAGUGGCAUAGCUAAGUCCAAGUUUAACUCUUAGUUCAAGGUUGAAAGCUGAGCAGCCUUGGGGGGACUGCUGGAGUCCAAAGACAAGGAAGCUUGGAAUUCUCAUGUCCAAGGCG
RNAcentral lists this long non-coding RNA (1081 nucleotides) under Heterocephalus glaber (naked mole-rat). RNAcentral describes it as "lncRNA (ENSHGLG00000035875.1)". Lineage: Eukaryota; Metazoa; Chordata; Mammalia; Rodentia; Bathyergidae. The record is from RNAcentral.